GGGCCAGGACCCCUCAUGGCAUUGCCACUUCCAGCACAUUCCUUGCAAGAGUGGCUGUUUUAUUCAGAGGAAGAAAGUGUGUGAUUCUCUUCAGGUAGCCACAGGACAGCCCAGGUGCUUCCCAGAGGUCUGCUUUCAACCCUUCACCAGUUUCUGGAGCCUGCUCACGCAGAAGGCUGAGAUAUGGUUUCUUGAUGGGUUUCCUUGAGUGAGACCCUGCUUUGGUGUUGGAAACACUGGACUGCUGCCUCUCAAGUGGCCCUCGUGCCCUUCAUAUCCCUGUGCGUAGGGUGCUGCCAGCCACACUCCAACAGCAUCACUUAAAGCUUAAAUAACCCAAAGAAUGUCUUGGAUUCCUCAAAGUUAACCAGAUCAAUUUUAGAAACAUUGACAUACAGACUGUCCCUCUCCCUGAGCUUGAAUAAAGCUCCCAGGUAGCUUUUCCGGGCCCACAUUUUCUCUUUUGUACAGUAAUUGAUGCGCUUGUCCUCCAUCAGCACAUGGCUGCCUGGUGAAGCUGGGUUUCUCUUGUAGACAACAUGGGUCAAUACCUCGUUGUCACAGCGCCUUCCCCGGAACAGCACAUUGGAGUACACAAAGUACAGACCGGUCUCAUUGAUCACAAGGCCCUGAGCACGGUACUGAACGCCGCUGGUGAAGGCAUGACCAGAGAUGGGCUCCCACUCCAAUGGAAGGUUCUGCUGUGUGGGGUUCCCUGGAAGCCAGAAUGAGAGAGGAGCAGUAAGCACAAGCGUUAGCAUGUUUUCCCUUCAGUUACACCCCAGGUCACAACCAAGGCACCUGUUCUCCAUGUCCUUGACUGUAACAUAAGAAGUUUACCCCAGCCUCACGGAGGUGGGAGCUCACACCUUCCAUGUGCUCUAAUUGGUGUUGAGCUGCCAUUGAAAGCACAUCACUAACAGAAACAAAAACCAAAGGAAAAAAAUAGAGCUCUCAUUAAAAAGCUUGAAUGAGAGGAAUAUUUUAGCAGUGGGGCACCUUCAAGUUGCCAAAGCACACACAUUUCUAAAGGAAAAUGAGAAAGUCAGUGCAGCUCCUUACAACAACAGCCAGGUUGCUCUUUCAUCCCAGUAACAUCUGCCCUGUUCUCUGCUCCCAAAUCCUGCUGGUCCCUCAACACGUACCUGUUAAGUGUGCUGCCUUCCUUGCUUCCUUUUUCACUGGCUUGUUCUCCUGCCCUGCAUGAAAACAGAGGAGACUGUAGCCACAUGCUCCAUGGAGAAGUCAGUCCAUUGAGAAGAACAGAGGUAUCUGCGAGGCUAAAGAGGGGUAGAUUCCCAGCAGCAAAGGGCACAUAGGCACCAUGGCUUGCUGUGAAGAAAUAGAAAGAUGCUCAGCCAAAUGCUACAGAACAUUAGAGAGAGUUAGAAAGUAAGAGCUGAAGCAAAGGAUCGGAUGUGAUCCAAAGCAAAGGGAAAAAACAAGUGAGAAAGGAAAGUUUUCAUCUUAAAAUGUCUCCACGGGUGAACUCAAGAAGAGGAUUUUUGCUCAGGUUUUAGGAGAGGGAUAAUAGUGUGCGAAUCUCCCACUCCCAAUGAAAACAAAAUUUUCUAUGUCAUCCCAAAAACUUAAAGAGCAAAGAGAAAAAGUCCUAAAACAUGCAGCGUACAUCUUGAUUAUCCACUCUCCUCCUUCUGUGCACGCUGUUGCAGUGUCUCAGGACACUGAGGCCCUAAAGCAGAAGCAACCUGUCCCAACUGACACAACUGAGCAUUCUAGCAAGCAGGAUGCAGGACGCCCUUUUGCCACACUCUUCUUCAGACCAAGCAAGUGCAAGAAGCGCUUCCAGAGCUGCAGCCCUGCCUCUGCACCAGACAAGGGGAGGGAAGGAUUUGGCAGAAGCAUUCACACAUGCUGGCAAGGGAGAGUUUCUCUAUGUACAUCAACUCACCUAUGAGCUUCUCCAGAGCUGGAGGGAUGUGUUCAAUGCUGACAGUCUGUUAAAAGAAGAAGAGUGACAAGUUCUCUCAGCAGGGUGAGAACAUAAGGGCACCAUCUAGAUGCGACCAGGCUGUCUCAACAACGGCUAUUCUGGGUGCUUAUGCAGAGCUGCGAGUUUAAGUGUACAGGGAGGAAGAGCCUGCAGCACCCAGACAUCAGGACAUCCAGAUAUGUACCACAGGCACCAACAGAUCAGUCCUUCACAGUAACCAACAGCCCCACGCACACUGGCAUGGCACACGUCACUGCCACCAGUUUCUCCCCACGGCCUGUGUGGCCAGCAGGCAGACUUUACCUCUCUGAGUUCAGCCAGCUCCUUCUCCAGGUGGAAGAUCUGAAACAUGCUCAGCCCCACUCCAGUGAGCGCCAGCAGGAUCAGCAAGAAGAUCACCAGGAAGCUGACGCUGCUCCUUUCUCUGUUGCUCUUUGGUUUUUUCCUCCGAUCAGGUACUGGUGGUGGGAAGGGAGCGACAGGGGAUGCUGGAUGGCAGGAGGUGCUGGCAUCAGCACAGCCAUCCACCCAGAAGAUCUGUGGGUACAUAUAGUUCAAAUUCUGCUGCAGGGCUGGGAGUGGGAUGGGCUGGACACGCUUUGUGUGAUCAUCCAUGUGGCAGCCAAAAACUGCCGAGGCUGCCCCAGACUGAGCCCUGGGGGAAGACCCAGAUCUGCUUCUGUGUGCCUGCAUCAUCACUCCAGCUGCAAUCGUCCAGCUCAGAUGCUGCAACUCUAUGAAAGCCUCGAGCAGCAAACCCCAAAAAGCUUCCGCCCUCUGCUGCAAGUUCAGGGCACCCUCCUGCUCCUCCCACGCUGCAGCAGCACGCAAAUGCAGUUGGACAGAGCUGGUGGCAGGCUGCACUCACACAGCAACAGCCCCAGGAAGGAGAUGCACAGAGCAGAGCAGCACCGUGCUAGCACGUCAGGCAGGGGCUGAGUAAUCACACACACCCACAAGCCAGCCACCCUUUCCAGCAGCCCACACAGGCAGAGACAGCUGCUUUUCCACUGCGGUGUCCUGCACCACAAGCAGGGGGAAUAACAGACUCUUCUGCUUCUGGCAUCCUGCAUGAGAGGUGAGAGGCAGAGCCGUGUUUUCCCCUUAGCAUUAGUAUAAAGAUGUCAAUUACAGCAGUAGGCACCUCAUUUUGCAAAGGACAAAUUACUUACUGCUGCCUCCUGUCUUCUUCCAACUUGAGGAAUGUUAGAAAGGGCAGUUCUUGUUUUUCAGUCUUCCCCAGAACAAUGGUGGGUGCUGCAGCAGGACCUCACCUGGCUGGGUGACUGAUUAGACACUGCACUGCUCAUCCUGGUACAACUUCCUCACCUUUGGAGGAAGAAUCCAGAGUCCAGGCACAGCGUAGGGCCCAGCACUCUUAAAGGCUCUGCUCAAUCAUGAGGACAGAGAAUCAUGAGAAACUGAGAUUUUUCAAUGUAAUUAAGUCUCCAUUGGCCACAGAUUUCUAAGUAUUGGCAAGGAGCUUUCAUAUGAAUUUACACAGAAGACUGUCCAUAUGUCCAUAGGUAUUUGCUCUUCCAUUUCACUGGCAUAAUGAAAGUAGUGUAUCUGGGGGAGGGCAGCGUUUAAAAAACGACACAUUUAACGCAAGAACAAACAGAACUGUUGUCUCUUACGUGGCUGAAGAAAGAAGCCCCAGCACACAGGUUUUGAUCUUGAACACCAGAAUCCGGUGUGCCUGUCGCUGACCCACUGCUUUCUAUUUUCACAAAGAUGCAGACGUAUUUUUGUGAUCUGUGGGUAAGCCCAUGAAAGCCUUGUUUCAGCUGUUCCUGCUGCAUCUUCUCUAUUCAGAUCAAGAGCCCUCUAAUACCACGCAUUGCGGCAAACCAAAAACCAGGGUUAUUUUACCAUCAAAGAAUCCAUUGCAGUUCACAACAUGCUUUCAGAGACUUCUCCCUUCCCAGCACUCUCUGCCAUUGCUGCCUGCUGUCACACUCUCCAUUUAGUUGUUUAAAAAACAAUUAAGAAAGAUGCUGUGUAGGACAAAGACUUAUUAGGUUCUGGACACAGUAAAACACGUAUCUGAAGAUAUUUCCUGUUACAACAACUAGCAGAAAUGCUACAAAACAACUCUUGAAAGCCCACUGGGCUGCACAAAGGACAAUGGUUCUUAAUUACAUGUUUUAACAGUUCACUUUUCCCAGGCAAAGGUGAUACUUUCUGCUUCCCUCCUAAGUCACCCCUUCACUAGAAACACGAGGCAUGUGCUGGGAUGUGUGUCGGUACCAACAGCUCCCGAGAAAGAUGUUCACAUUCACAAAGAGGUCCUGUUCAUUAUCUAUUUUCCUAUCCAUUUGCUAACCCAUGUUAUCUGAAAGAAGCCUGGAAAUACCAUCUCUUCUCAAGCUGCCACAAACCCCAGUCAGCUUCUUUUCUUCAGCAACACCUGAUGCUGUUUGACACUCAGGGUUUCCACACGAUGAGACACUCUGCUUAAUAGCUGCCUACCCGCAGCACUUUGUGGUCAGAGCUCUGCGCUUUGUGUUCCAAAUGCAGUGGAACAUUCGUACCAUAGUGAGGCACGUUCAACUGUUCCAUCCCAUCUCAUGCUGCAUGUUGACAAAGGCAGAAGCCACCUUACACUCCAGUUCUCUCUCCCAAUACCACACAGCGAGGGGAGUUUAUAUAUUUAAAACAAACUGCAUUUCCUCUCUGAUGCUUAAUGCAUAUAAGCAAAACGUCUUAUUUCAGCAAACAUGGCUGGCAAUACUUUUAUAUGAUGCAUAUGUUUGUGAUUAUCCCUUUUUUGCUAAAAACUCACGUUGCUUAAAAAUCUGGUGUCCCUAGACUUGCACGAAGGGAUGAUGAAAGUGCUCCAAGUGCUUCUGUGUGCGACAGCUUUUUGCAACAGGAAACAACAGCUCUCUGCACCAACAGGCUCCUCACGGUGACCGCCUGCCCUAUUAGCUGAGUGCUGUGGUUUGUCAGUGCAACCACCCCAGCACACUGACACGGUGGCAGAGAUCCAGGAGCUCAAACAGCUCCACAGAUCUCCCAGCAGCAUCCUGCUCAGGGCUCCCUCCCUGCCACCACCUCCACAGAUGUACUACAUUACAUCCACGUCCUAAAAGACAAGACCCUUGGUUUACAUUAUUAAGCAGCCAGGUUUCUCACUAUUACGGGCUGUUGCCAAAGUCGACAGCUUGUUUACACUGAGAAAUGCUUUAAUGCAAAAGCAACUUCCUCAUGGCUGUUCCAACCUGGUUUUGUUUUAAGCAAUAUAAUAAAUCAGAUCGGCACAGCGUAACUCAAAGACUCCAGAAAUUAGCAACGAAAGCCAGGAGGCCGAUUCCACUUAAUAACCAGUUGGUUGGCAUUUUACACCACAAAACAUAGCACAGGAUGGACCAGGCCCCUCUGUGAAGCAUCCACACCACCCAGCAAUUCGUCAAGCUUUAUAAACCACCUUCAUGAGAAAGUACUGUCUCUCUAGAGCGUAACCAAUUUAGAAGUGCCUUUAUUUCAUCAAAGAAAUCAGGUUAGUCAGUGUGAUAUUAAUAAAAGUGAAAUAGGAAGCUAAAAAUUACUCAAGAGGCCACAUGAAAGGAUAACGUUAAGCAAAUGAGAAUGUGAUUUUAGGAGCUUUUUUGAAAAAGAAGAUUAAAAAAAAAAAAAAGUGGUUAUAAAUAAUUAAAAGCAUCAAGCACAACAAGAGGAAGCUGUGGUUCAGUUCCAUCCAUGCCAGAAGCAAACACACAGCAACCCAGCAGGCUCCUCCCAAAGGAGCUUUCCCAGCAGUUGAAGCAUGAUGUGGUUGGUUGGAAAGUUGAGACCAAGACAUAGCUGAAAUGUUUGGUAAUAAUAAUAUGGACAGUUGCUCCUCAGCUGACAUGCACCAACAGUGAUCCUACUACAGACACGUUUUAUUGACAGGAGACAUUAGUGCUAACAUAAACUUCCAUUAAACAGCACAACAGGGCUCUUAGGCUGCCGGCUCUCACUGUAUGUCCAGGCUUCUGUUAGUCAGAUACUGAAAACACCAAAGUUCCUGUACAUCCAGAGCCCAGAAGCAGCAUUUCUUAGGAAAAAAAAAAAAAAAGGAGCCUUCAAGAAAGGCUCCCUACAUGUUCAUUACUUAAAACUUUAUUGCUGGUAUUACUUUCUUUAUACCCAACGCAACCACUCCUUAGGAUCCUAAGCCCCAUCCAGGUUUAAAAAUCAAUAGAUAGUAGGGAAUACAGGACUGUUUGAAAGAAAUGUGAGAGAGAGAGAUGCAUUUGACACCUGCAUAUCGCAUCAUCAGUCAUCUGGCCUCUUUCCACACCUCUCAAUCUGAGGUUUCAGCUCACGACAGUAAAGAUGGGCUUUUCUAAGAAUUCAGUCAUGUCCAUGUGGCUUCACUUCACUGAUGGGAAAAACAGCUCAGUUACAACCAAGACAGAAAAGCAAACUUCCUACAUGUGACGCAUCAAGAGGAAGGAAGGCAAACUGACACAGAAAACCCACACAACAAAAAAGCCACACACCCCCAGAGCAGCCCCUCCUGCACUUAGCAAUUCCUUUCCUUUUUUAAUCAAAGCAGUUCCCAUGAUGAAACUAAAGAAUUUCACGAGAGAAACCAGCACUGGGGAGAUCACAUUUGAGGAGUAUAGGACUGGAUUGCCAAUGGAUUUGGCUGCACACAGUGCAGGUAGGCUCACUACAGCUAAGUUGUUCUGGCCUCACACUGAAAUCAAAAGAUCACUCCUUCUUGGAGAUGCAUUUAAGCCAUAAGAUAAGAUUUGCAAAGGAAACGUGCCACUAAAUUAAAGACAAAGUGUUCAGAUUUAUUUGGAAAUUCACAGUUUCUAAUGGCACUACAGCUCUGUAGUUACAUACUCUUUUUCCACAACAACGUAUGCUGCACUCAAGUACGCAUUUUCCUCAUCCAGGUUUAAAACUCUUAAGUCCGUGUUCAACAAGUCUGGUUCACGUGCUCUGACUGGCUAAUUGUGCAGAUCAAAUCCAAAAGUACAUCACCUUAAAGUAUUCAUAAAAUAACAAGAAAGCAGCAAAAAAAAA
Molecule: non-coding RNA, 6979 nt
Organism: Coturnix japonica (Japanese quail)
Lineage: Eukaryota; Metazoa; Chordata; Aves; Galliformes; Phasianidae
Source: RefSeq, a predicted model, not a curated record